RNAcentral lists this ribosomal RNA (492 nucleotides) under uncultured bacterium. RNAcentral's name for it is "partial 16S ribosomal RNA". It matches the Rfam family "Bacterial small subunit ribosomal RNA", at positions 29 to 507 of the family's 1533-position model. The record is from RNAcentral.
AGUGAACGCUGGCGGUAGGCCUAACACAUGCAAGUCGAACGGCAGCACAGUAAGAGCUUGCUCUUACGGGUGGCGAGUGGCGGACGGGUGAGGAAUACAUCGGAAUCUACUUUUUCGUGGGGGAUAACGUAGGGAAACUUACGCUAAUACCGCAUACGACCUACGGGUGAAAGCAGGGGAUCUUCGGACCUUGCGCGAUUGAAUGAGCCGAUGUCGGAUUAGCUAGUUGGCGGGGUAAAGGCCCACCAAGGCGACGAUCCGUAGCUGGUCUGAGCGGAUGAUCAGCCACACUAGAACUGAGACACGGUCCAGACUCCUACGGGAGGCAGCAGUGGGGAAUAUUGGACAAUGGGCGCAAGCCUGAUCCAGCCAUACCGCGUGGGUGAAGAAGGCCUUCGGGUUGUAAAGCCCUUUUGUUGGGAAAGAAAAGCAGCAGGUUAAUACCCCGCUGUUCUGACGGUACCCAAAGAAUAAGCACCGGCUAACUUCGUG